UUUUAGCCCCGACAGAAGGGAUAAACCUUGUGAGUACUACUUUUUCUGCGGGGCUCGCAAGUUUAGGAAUGAUGGCGGGAACAAUG
RNAcentral lists this small RNA (86 nucleotides) under Flavobacterium sp. 103. Its description in RNAcentral is "Flavo-1 RNA". It matches the Rfam family "Flavo-1 RNA". The record is from RNAcentral. Lineage: Bacteria; Pseudomonadati; Bacteroidota; Flavobacteriia; Flavobacteriales; Flavobacteriaceae.